AGACCAAGUUUUUCGGGUUU
This 20-nucleotide small nuclear RNA is filed under the name Arabidopsis thaliana (thale cress). RNAcentral describes it as "snRNA_13962". The record is from RNAcentral. Lineage: Eukaryota; Viridiplantae; Streptophyta; Magnoliopsida; Brassicales; Brassicaceae.